UUAACAGAUGAGCAGUUGGUUCAGAUCACACACAAAAUCAGUCCAUUUUUAUAUGCAUAUUUUUAGGCUAAAAAAAUCUCUACCCUGUACUUCUUGGUAACAUGAGUGAACAAAUGCUUCCUGCUGUGGUCCAAAGAAAAGGAAAAUACCCUUGGAAAAAAUGAAGUAUUUCUCGCCCCCGGAGUUCUGGACAAUGUACUAAAGAGCUUCUGAAUCUGCUGGCUGCCCAAGCUAUGUCCAAAGGCAUAGCAGGAAAGGAUAAACAGAAAAGCAGAUUGAGGAGACAAUGCAAGCCCUUACCAAAUGCUGAGCUCAGUGGGGACACAAACUGGAUGCCACCCGACACCGAGGCUACAAAUUCUGUGUUCAGGAGCUCCAUGAUUGAAAUUAUGCAGCUGAAGCUGAACCCUCAUGAGUUUCUCUGAUUUUUCUGUACCUGCAUCAGAAAGUGGAAUGUACUUCAGAAGUUCUUCCUUAACCCUUUCCUGGCACUACCUGUGUGAAUCCCAUUGCUGUGGAAAACCUGUGCGUGUGUGUUCACCUGCAUGACAGACCAACCACCACAGAGGUUCCGAUCUGCCCAGUUCUGCACUGAUACAAAUCCGAAAUAAUUCUGCUAACUUCGUCAGAGCUGCUCAGCAGAGACGCAUGCAGUUGAGGCCAGGAUCUGUUCCACUUAAUUAAAUAAAUAAAGGUUAAAUAUCCUGAAAGAUCCAUUUUCCAGUGUCCUUAACCUUGUUUUUGCUGGUGACCUCCUUAUUUAUUUAUUUACUUAUUUUCAAGCUGAGCUUUUCAUGGUCAUUGACAUAAAUUUUCCAGCUUUUCUAAUACAGAACAUCUGUGGUCCCUAUGCAGUGUCCUCUAUAGGUCAUGGGAAAGCUUUAUCUUACUAAUAAGCUCCAUUCCUCUAUAUAUUCAAGCCCAACUGACUGGGCCAAGUGUGUUUAUAAAUAAAUAUUGCCUUGUAAUGACCAUUUCCCUAUGCCCCAGAGGAACAGAGAUUCAGGCCUUUUGAGCUGGCCAGCUGCCUCCUUUAAUAACAGUGAGAACAGUUUUACCCUGUCUGGUUAAAGUUGGAUUUAUGUGAAAAUGAACUCCCCAAGGUGACAGGCCAGUGACACUGAAGAAUGCAAUGCUCCCAGCUACCCUUAAUAGUUGGGGAAGCUUGUUCAUCCAUCCACCAUUUUCUCUUCAUCAAACAAAAUGAGGGGUGUGUUUAUUGAAUAUCUCUAUUUGUCCCUGACUAUCUCUGUCUGCUUCAGCCCAAGCAGGGACAAAAUCAUGAGGAAGGCAAGUGAGCUUCAUUUGAAUGCUAUCCUGUAUCUUUCAGUAAGAGAGGUGACCAUUGAUGUAUGACAUUGCUAAAUUAUGGAAGAAUACAUCUGCUGGGAAAUUCAGAGAAUGUAUUACAAAAGUACCUGAUAAAUCACUCUUCUUACUGAUGAGUGCAACAAGAAAUAUGCUGCAAUAUGCUUUCUCUUCUAGAUGAAGCAUGAUCUAAUAGUUCCUUAUCACUGAAGGAUGACAUACUGUCUUAGUGGCUUCUUUCUUAAUACUGCUCUAUCAGAGGGAAUAAUUUGUAUUUCUUACAUGAGUCUUGAUCUGCUCUGCAUCUUCUUCU
This is a long non-coding RNA of Amazona collaria (yellow-billed parrot), 1621 nucleotides long. Lineage: Eukaryota; Metazoa; Chordata; Aves; Psittaciformes; Psittacidae. The record is from Ensembl.